GCCUCGUUAGCUCAGAUGGUUUAGAGCAGCUGUCUCUUAAACAGCGGGUCAUCGGUUCAAGUCCGAUACGGGGUAC
RNAcentral lists this transfer RNA (76 nucleotides) under Gordonia phage GodonK. RNAcentral describes it as "tRNA-Lys". It matches the Rfam family "tRNA". Rfam says of the family: Transfer RNA (tRNA) molecules are approximately 80 nucleotides in length. Their secondary structure includes four short double-helical elements and three loops (D, anti-codon, and T loops). Further hydrogen bonds mediate the characteristic L-shaped molecular structure. tRNAs have two regions of fundamental functional importance: the anti-codon, which is responsible for specific mRNA codon recognition, and the 3' end, to which the tRNAs corresponding amino acid is attached (by aminoacyl-tRNA synthetases). tRNAs cope with the degeneracy of the genetic code in two manners: having more than one tRNA (with a specific anti-codon) for a particular amino acid; and 'wobble' base-pairing, i.e. permitting non-standard base-pairing at the 3rd anti-codon position. The record is from RNAcentral. RNAcentral also lists the same sequence under 1 other name. Lineage: Duplodnaviria; Heunggongvirae; Uroviricota; Caudoviricetes.